Myotis davidii is the source of this 305-nucleotide long non-coding RNA. RefSeq lists it as uncharacterized. The record is from RefSeq and is a predicted model, not a curated record. The transcript is spliced from 2 exons. Lineage: Eukaryota; Metazoa; Chordata; Mammalia; Chiroptera; Vespertilionidae.
GCCCGGCCAAGGGCGUUGCGGGCGGCACGGAGCCCACGGGAGGGCGGGGUGCAAGGCCGGGGCGGGGUGCAAGGCCGGGGCGGGGCCUCUGCGCCCGGGCCGCCUCUUCUGGGCUAUAAAAGCAGCAUGCGGGCUGCUCCAGGCCACCACGCAUUGGGCCAGAACGAGUACCCUUUCUUCUCUCGCUUUGGAUCUCAAGUCUCACCGCUGAUCGAAAUGGACCCCAACUGCUCCUGCGCCACUGGUGGCUCCUGCGCCUGUGCUGGCUCCUGCAAAUGCAAAGAGUGCAAAUGCACCUCCUGCAA